ACCACAGUAGACAAGCAGAAGUUACCUUGCUCCUAGAAGAAAGAGAAAGGACACUCCAAGAUGAAAACUGUGGGGCCGAGACACGUCGAAGUGUAAAGAGCAGCUCUGUGCUGCUGAAGGACGAUUGCCGGGCAUAGCCUCACGCUUGGGAGCUGCCUAGUGACAAGCUGUGUGGAGGGCUGAGCGUGUACCCAGAGCUGGCCCUGUCUUUUAAACUGACUGCUUCCUGGAAGCUCUCUCAGCUGAGACAUUCUGGGAUCCCAAGAGAGUAUGCUGAUCUCUUCAUUAUCUCAGAAUCGAACUGAGAACUGGAACAAGGAUAACAGAGGUGAGGGGCCACAUUCCACUCUCCAUUUCCUGUGAAGCUGCAUUUGUUGACUGAGACAGCAGGCAAGCGCCUGGCCAGCAGUGAAUGACCAUGGUGGCAUAGCCUGGCUUCAAGUCAUGUAUUGAUGUGGGAGUUGGACCAUGAAGAAGGCUGAACGCUGAAGAAUUGAUGCUUUCAAACUGUGGUGCUGGAGAAGACUCUUGAGAGUCCCUUGGACAGCAAGGAGAUCAAACCCAUCAAUCCUAAAGGAAAUAAACCCUGAAUAUUCACUGGAAGGACUGAUACUGAAGCUAAAGCGUCAAUACUUUGGCCACCUGAUGUGAAGAACUGACUCAUUGAAAAAGCCCCUGAUGCUGGGAAAGAUAGAAGGCCAGAGGAGAAGGGGACGACAGACGAUGAGAUGGUUGGAUGGCAUUACUGGCUCAAUGGACAUGAGUUUGAGCAAGCUCUGGGAGAUAGUGAAUGACAGGGAAGGCUGCCAUGAAGCAGUUCAUGAUGUUGCAAAGAGCUGAACAUGAUUUAGUGACUGAACAACAUGGUGGUCUUUAAUACACAAAAGUGCAAAAUUUAUAUACAGCCAAUCUAUGAAGUUUUUCUUUCAAAGUUCCUGCCUUUAUGUAUUAUGUUACUUAGAAAAGGCUUCCCUAUCCUGAUUCAUACAGUAAUUUGCUCUUUCCUCCCCCCGCCCCCAACUACCCCCCACCUUUUUAGGGAGUUACUUUUCAUAAUUUUAAAAAACUCCUCCUGUCAAAUCAAGGUGUCUCUAGAUAGGACUGCAACCAGCU
Long non-coding RNA from Bos taurus (domestic cattle), 1113 nucleotides. The record is from Ensembl. NCBI's taxonomy places the organism in Eukaryota, Metazoa, Chordata, Mammalia, Artiodactyla, Bovidae.